Molecule: long non-coding RNA, 1579 nt
Organism: Oryza sativa Japonica Group (Japanese rice)
Lineage: Eukaryota; Viridiplantae; Streptophyta; Magnoliopsida; Poales; Poaceae
Source: RefSeq, a predicted model, not a curated record
UUCAGAGCGGCACACUACUCCUCCGCAUCCCUCUGCACCACCCACGCGCGAUUCCUACGGAUUGCUCGCAAUCCGCAAUCAGCGGGAAAAAAAAACACGCUAGCGCCGCCCCACAUCGCCGCGCCGCUCCCCCUUCGCCACGGCUCAUCCUCCUCGUCGCGAGUCCCCUCGGCCUCCGCAAUACGCCGCGGCACCACACCUCCCUCCCGUCCCGCACCUCCUCCUAGAUCGCCGCCACCGAUACCGCGUCCUCCACCGUCGCUGAAUCCCCUUUGCCGCGCGCCCAUCAUUGGAUCGAGCGUUGUCGUCAUAUCCACCUCCACCGUUGUGGAGUCCCCCGCCCCACAUCCCCGUCCCCGGCGUUUCUCCACCCCGCAUCACCUGCCGUCGACGCUCAUCGCUAAUCUGCUCCUCUCCGCCACCGCCAGCGCCCGCAUCCACGCCUGCCCAGAUCACGCUGCCGACGCCACUCCCCGAUCUCAACUGACCAAUGUCGUGCCCUUACCCCCAGCGCCACAUCCCACCCUCUCCUCCCCUUUUGGCCUUCGAGGCUUCGCUUCGGUCCCACACCGACACGAGAUCCAUUCCUGUUCAGAGGAGGCAUACGGGGCAGAAUAUUGUUCAUUCAUAGAGAGGCAUAAUGCACAGUUAAUUUCAAUCACUUUCCAUUUUCACUAAUGGCUGGGCAGACACCGGUGGCUCUUGGGUGAAAUGAGAGCAAGUCAACCGAUCAUUUUCAUGAAGAGAUGAAUUAGACGGAACAACAGAGCCUCAUGGGGACUCAAACUUUUGAGAUAUGUAUAUUGGCAUGAAGAGAAAAGGAUACAAAUAUAUGAAGCCUCUGACUUGUUGGGUUGUUGUAUGUGUUAGUUCCUGGCAAUGCAGAGCUAGCACUGUAAGGAAAUGACUGUGUUGAGGCAAGUGUCAAGCACUAACUUCUUCCACAACAACCCUGUCUUCCAUGGUAACCAUUCCGUUACUCCCUCCUUCCCAAAUUGAUCAUCACACUAUGAAAUUCAAGAUUUCUCAAAUUGAUCAUCAUAUAACCGCAUGGACACGGAUUUCAUCAGAAUACCAUUAAUACAACAUGGAAGAAUGUGUGCAUGCUAAGGUGUAAUUGGCAUGGUGUUAAUCGAUGCAUGUAUUGUGGGAGAAUGUGUGCAUGGUAUCUUGAUUGAUGUGAUUUAAAUUAUCAUUGGUCUUGGUGCAUAAACAUAUAUGAUGAUCAAUUUGGGAAGGAGGGAGUAUUUCUUUUGCUAUGUAAUGAGAACCAUUGUGUAGAAUUUUGUAAACAACUUUAACCAUUGCUUCUCUGCAUGCAAAUGCAGAUCCAUUCCUUUCCAAAAGGAUUAGUUACCAUUUCUUUUAAUUUUUACACAUAUGAUUAGCAAUUGUCUAUAAGCAUUAGGAAUGAGAAUCAGAUGAAACUAUAGACAAACUUUCCAAAGUAGUAUCAAUAUGUGGCCAAUAAUGUGCUGUUCCAUUCAUUAAUUUUGUUAUAUGUGGUACUAGCAUGUGAAUACUAUAAAGAUGUGAAAAUUAUAAAUAUGUGACGUAAUUAUUAUUAGUUCUAUAUUAA